AGUCCUGAGGUGAUUUUCACAUUGAAUUGCAAAUUCAAAGGAGCAGCUUCAACCCUGCCGGGACUU
RNAcentral lists this transfer RNA (66 nucleotides) under Geomys knoxjonesi. RNAcentral's name for it is "tRNA-Cys". It matches the Rfam family "tRNA". From Rfam's summary of the family: Transfer RNA (tRNA) molecules are approximately 80 nucleotides in length. Their secondary structure includes four short double-helical elements and three loops (D, anti-codon, and T loops). Further hydrogen bonds mediate the characteristic L-shaped molecular structure. tRNAs have two regions of fundamental functional importance: the anti-codon, which is responsible for specific mRNA codon recognition, and the 3' end, to which the tRNAs corresponding amino acid is attached (by aminoacyl-tRNA synthetases). tRNAs cope with the degeneracy of the genetic code in two manners: having more than one tRNA (with a specific anti-codon) for a particular amino acid; and 'wobble' base-pairing, i.e. permitting non-standard base-pairing at the 3rd anti-codon position. Lineage: Eukaryota; Metazoa; Chordata; Mammalia; Rodentia; Geomyidae. The record is from RNAcentral.